This 457-nucleotide ribosomal RNA is filed under the name Nocardioides sp. RKVR_SS5. RNAcentral describes it as "bacterial SSU rRNA". It matches the Rfam family "Bacterial small subunit ribosomal RNA", at positions 8 to 469 of the family's 1533-position model. Lineage: Bacteria; Bacillati; Actinomycetota; Actinomycetes; Propionibacteriales; Nocardioidaceae. The record is from RNAcentral.
AGAGUUUGGUUCUGGCUCAGGACGAACGCUGGCGGCGUGCUUAACACAUGCAAGUCGAGCGGAAAGGCCCUUCGGGGUACUCGAGCGGCGAACGGGUGAGUAACACGUGAGUAAUCUGCCCCUGGCUUCGGGAUAGCCACCGGAAACGGUGAUUAAUACCGGAUAUGACUACUUCCUGCAUGGGAUGGUAGUGGAAAGUUUUUCGGCCAGGGAUGUGCUCGCGGCCUAUCAGCUUGAUGGUGAGGUAAUGGCUCACCAUGGCUUCGACGGGUAGCCGGCCUGAGAGGGUGACCGGUCACACUGGGACUGAGACACGGCCCAGACUCCUACGGGAGGCAGCAGUGGGGAAUAUUGGACAAUGGGCGGAAGCCUGAUCCAGCAACGCCGCGUGAGGGAUGACGGCCUUCGGGUUGUAAACCUCUUUCGGUAGGGACGAAGCGCAAGUGACGUACUACUA